GGACACUUCAAACUCUUGCGUAACUUUGCAGUCUGAGUAAACUUAAUUAAUAAAUUAAAACUUUUAACAACGGAUCUCUUGGUUCUGGCAUCGAUGAAGAACGCAGCGAAAUGCGAUAAGUAAUGUGAAUUGCAGAAUUCAGUGAAUCAUCGAAUCUUUGAACGCACAUUGCGCCCCCUGGUAUUCCGGGGGGCAUGCCUGUUCGAGCGUCAUUUCACCACUCAAGCCUCGCUUGGUAUUGGGCAACGCGGUCCGCCGCGUGCCUCAAUCGUCCGGCUGGGUCUUCUGUCCCCUAAGCGUUGUGGAAACUAUUCGCUAAAGGGUGUUCGGGAGGCUACGCCGUAAAACAACCCCAUUUCUAAGGUUGACCUCGGAUCAGGUAGGGAUACCCGCUGAACUUAAGCAUAUCAAUAAGCGGAGGAAAAGAAACCAACAGGGAUUGCUCUAGUAACGGCGAGUGAAGCAGCAAUAGCUCAAAUUUGAAAUCUGGCGUCUUCGACGUCCGAGUUGUAAUUUGUAGAGGAUGCUUCUGAGUGGCCACCGACCUAAGUUCCUUGGAACAGGACGUCAUAGAGGGUGAGAAUCCCGUAUGCGGUCGGAAAGGCGCUCUAUACGUAGCUCCUUCGACGAGUCGAGUUGUUUGGGAAUGCAGCUCUAAAUGGGAGGUAAAUUUCUUCUAAAGCUAAAUAUUGGCCAGAGACCGAUAGCGCACAAGUAGAGUGAUCGAAAGAUGAAAAGCACUUUGGAAAGAGAGUUAAAAAGCACGUGAAAUUGUUAAAAGGGAAGGGAUUGCAACCAGACUUGCUCGCGGUGUUCCGCCGGUCUUCUGACCGGUC
This 836-nucleotide ribosomal RNA is filed under the name fungal endophyte. RNAcentral describes it as "eukaryotic LSU rRNA". The stretch from base 366 to 836 matches the Rfam family "Eukaryotic large subunit ribosomal RNA", at positions 1 to 469 of the family's 3401-position model. Lineage: Eukaryota; Fungi. The record is from RNAcentral.